GAGUCGUGCGGACUUCGUGUCAGCGGCAUACGGCUCAGUAACACGUGGGUAACCUACUCUCAGGUCGGGGAUAACUCCGGGAAACUGGAGCUAAUACCCGGCAGACACAGGAAUCUGGAAUGAUCCUGUAUCGAAAGCUCCGGCGCCUGAGAAUGGGCCUGCGGCUGAUUAGGUAGUUGGUGGGGUAAUGGCCCACCAAGCCUACGAUCGGUACGGGCAGUGAGAGCUGGAGCCCGGAGAUGGGGACUGAGACAAGGCCCCAGGCCCUACGGGGCGCAGCAGGUGCGAGAACUCGCCAAUGCUCGAAAGAGUGAGCGGGGAACCCCAAGUGCCCUUGUAAUGCAAGGGCUUUUCUUUGGUGUUAGGAGCCAGAGGAAUAAGGGCUGGGUAAGACUGGUGCCAGCCGCCGCGGUAACACCAGCAGCUCGAGUGGUCGCCGUUAUUAUUGGGCUUAAAGCGUCCGUAGCCGGAUAGAUUAGUCUCUAGGUAAAUCUUACGUCUAAGCGUAAGCCUUCUGGAGAUACUGUCUAUCUCGAGGCCGGGAGAGGUUGGAGGUACUCCCGGGGUAGGAGUAAAAUCCUGUAAUCCUGGGGGGACCACCGGUGGCGAAGGCGUCCAACUGGAACGGGCCUGACGGUGAGGGACGAAACCCAGGGGAGCGAGCCGGAUUAGAUACCCGGGUAGUCCUGGGCGUAAAUGAUGCGGACUAGGUGUGGGGAUAUCCACGAGAUAUCUCUGUGCCGAAGGGAAGCCAUUAAGUCCGCCGCCUGGGGAGUACGGCCGCAAGGCUGAAACUUAAAGGAAUUGGCGGGGGAGCACCACAAGGGGUGGAGGCUGCGGUUUAAUUGGAUUCAACGCCGGAAAACUCACCGGAGGCGACGGCAGUAUGAUGGCCAAGUUGAUGACUUUGCCUGACGAGCCGAGAGGAGGUGCAUGGCCGCCGUCAGUUCGUACCGUGAGGUGUCCUCUUAAGUGAGGUAACGAACGAGACCCCCACCCUCAGUUACCAGCAAAUUCCUAUGGAAUGAUGGGGACUCUGAGGGGACCGCUGCUGCUAAAGCAGAGGAAGGAGGGGGCAACGGUAGGUCAGUAUGCCCCGAAUCCCCCGGGCUACACGCGGCCUACAAUGGUUACGACAAUGGGUUCCGACACUGAAAAGUGAAGGUAAUCCCCUAAACGUAAUCUCAGUCCGGAUUGAGGGCUGUAACUCGCCCUCAUGAAGCUGGAAUCCCUAGUAAUCGCGUGUCAUUAUCGCGCGGUGAAUACGUCCCUGCUCCUUGCACACACCGCCCGUCAUAUCACCUGAGUAGGGCUUGGAUGAGGAUCUGUCGAUGGCAAAU
Molecule: ribosomal RNA, 1340 nt
Filed under: uncultured archaeon
Lineage: Archaea
Description: bacterial SSU rRNA
Rfam family: Archaeal small subunit ribosomal RNA
Source: RNAcentral